GGGCCCAUAGCUCAGCGGUAGAGCGACCGGCUCAUAACCGGUUGGUCCCUGGUUCGAAUCCGGGUGGGCCCACCA
This 75-nucleotide transfer RNA is filed under the name Bacillota bacterium. RNAcentral describes it as "Firmicutes bacterium (anaerobic digester metagenome) tRNA-Ile". It matches the Rfam family "tRNA". Rfam says of the family: Transfer RNA (tRNA) molecules are approximately 80 nucleotides in length. Their secondary structure includes four short double-helical elements and three loops (D, anti-codon, and T loops). RNAcentral also lists the same sequence under 2 other names. The record is from RNAcentral. Lineage: Bacteria; Bacillati; Bacillota.